ACACAUGCAGUCGAACGAUGAUGCCCAGCUUGCUGGGUGGAUUAGUGGCGAACGGGUGAGUAACACGUGAGUAACCUGCCCCUGACUCUGGGAUAAGCGUUGGAAACGACGUCUAAUACUGGAUAUGACUGCCGGCCGCAUGGUCUGGUGGUGGAAAGAUUUUUUGGUUGGGGAUGGACUCGCGGCCUAUCAGCUUGUUGGUGAGGUAAUGGCUCACCAAGGCGACGACGGGUAGCCGGCCUGAGAGGGUGACCGGCCACACUGGGACUGAGACACGGCCCAGACUCCUACGGGAGGCAGCAGUGGGGAAUAUUGCACAAUGGGCGAAAGCCUGAUGCAGCAACGCCGCGUGAGGGAUGACGGCCUUCGGGUUGUAAACCUCUUUUAGUAGGGAAGAAGCGUAAGUGACGGUACCUGCAGAAAAAGCACCGGCUAACUACGUGCCAGCAGCCGCGGUAAUACGUAGGGUGCAAGCGUUGUCCGGAAUUAUUGGGCGUAAAGAGCUCGUAGGCGGUUUGUCGCGUCUGCUGUGAAAUCCCGAGGCUCAACCUCGGGCUUGCAGUGGGUACGGGCAGACUAGAGUGCGGUAGGGGAGAUUGGAAUUCCUGGUGUAGCGGUGGAAUGCGCAGAUAUCAGGAGGAACACCGAUGGCGAAGGCAGAUCUCUGGGCCGUAACUGACGCUGAGGAGCGAAAGCGUGGGGAGCGAACAGGAUUAGAUACCCUGGUAGUCCACGCCGUAAACGUUGGGCGCUAGAUGUAGGGACCUUUCCACGGUUUCUGUGUCGUAGCUAACGCAUUAAGCGCCCCGCCUGGGGAGUACGGCCGCAAGGCUAAAACUCAAAGGAAUUGACGGGGGCCCGCACAAGCGGCGGAGCAUGCGGAUUAAUUCGAUGCAACGCGAAGAACCUUACCAAGGGCUUGACAUACACCGGGAAACGGCCAGAGAUGGAUCGCCCCUUGUGGUCGGUGUACAGGUGGUGCAUGGUUGUCGUCAGCUCGUGUCGUGAGAUGUUGGGUUAAGUCCCGCAACGAGCGCAACCCUCGUUCUAUGUUGCCAGCGCGUUAUGGCGGGGACUCAUAGGAGACUGCCGGGGUCAACUCGGAGGAAGGUGGGGAUGACGUCAAAUCAUCAUGCCCCUUAUGUCUUGGGCUUCACGCAUGCUACAAUGGCCGGUACAAAGGGCUGCGAUACCGUAAGGUGGAGCGAAUCCCAAAAAGCCGGUCUCAGUUCGGAUUGAGGUCUGCAACUCGACCUCAUGAAGUCGGAGUCGCUAGUAAUCGCAGAUCAGCAACGCUGCGGUGAAUACGUUCCCGGGCCUUGUACACACCGCCCGUCAAGUCAUGAAAGUCGGUAACACCCGAAGCCGGUGGCCUAACCCUUGUGGAAGGAGCCGUC
Molecule: ribosomal RNA, 1397 nt
Filed under: Curtobacterium
Lineage: Bacteria; Bacillati; Actinomycetota; Actinomycetes; Micrococcales; Microbacteriaceae
Also listed under: 1 other name
Description: bacterial SSU rRNA
Rfam family: Bacterial small subunit ribosomal RNA
Source: RNAcentral